GUCAAAGCAAAAUCUCGAGUAUCCCUACUGCAAUAAGACACUUUCACACUGCUCUAUCAACAGAGAAAUCAAGAAAAUGAUGGAUUGUGGCAAGAAAGAGGAAGCAGGUCCAUCUCAUGGCGGUGUUACUUGGGAUAAGAGGAAGGAGGAAGAAGAUGGAGAAAGUGAAGAAGAUGACCAUCAUCAAGAUCCUUCUGCUGCUGCAACAAGUUUUAUUCCUGGCCCUCUUCUUUCUCUUAAAGAUCAAAUUGAAAAGGACAAGGAGGAUGAGAGCUUGAGGAGGUGGAAAGAAAAGCUGCUUGGUUGUCUGGAAAGCGACUUAGAUGGGCAAAUGGAACCUGAAGUUAAGUUCCACUCAGUUGGAAUCCUUUCCUCCGACUUUGGGGAGAUUAAUACUCCAUUACCUAUCAAAGAAGAACAAAGCAAUUAUGUCCUCUUUACGCUCAGGGAGGGCUCUGAG
Molecule: unclassified non-coding RNA, 460 nt
Filed under: Hevea brasiliensis (rubber tree)
Lineage: Eukaryota; Viridiplantae; Streptophyta; Magnoliopsida; Malpighiales; Euphorbiaceae
Source: RNAcentral